Long non-coding RNA from Selaginella moellendorffii, 557 nucleotides. RefSeq lists it as uncharacterized. Lineage: Eukaryota; Viridiplantae; Streptophyta; Lycopodiopsida; Selaginellales; Selaginellaceae. The record is from RefSeq and is a predicted model, not a curated record. The transcript is spliced from 2 exons.
AUAAAACUCACCAGUCUCCACAGCUGAAGGAGUAACCAGGAUCGUUGUUGUCAACGGCGCUCUUCUUGUUGCUGCGCUCUUCUUGAUGCGGCGCUCUUCUCGCUCCUUCUAGGAUGGGAAGAAAAGACGAGUCGUAACAGCAGCACUCUUGCAUUCAAUGCACACCACUGUCCUGCCUCAACCUCGUGGCUCGCGUUAGGAAAUGACCACUACCAGUGGCCUCGGUUCCUGGCGAGGGGAGCAAAACUCUAUCAGCUUCGUUCUCUUGUCUUCCACUCUUUAGCCACGUUCCACGGUGGAAGAGAACUGAGAGAAUCUAGAAGCCGCUGCAAAACGACGACCCUCCUCCGUGGAAAGACGGUCUCCUGCUUUUUCAAGCACCACCAGAGCCAGACGGGCCAGCCUUUUCUUUUCGCGCUUGUAUGACGGUGCGGAAUGAAUGCCAUCUCUUGUGUAGAGCACUUAGCGUGAGAGGUCCUGACCCCUCUGUCCCUGCACAAUGAAAUCACGUGCAGCUUGUUAUACCCAAAAUUAGCAAAGAGAUGUGUUUGAUCUUA